Molecule: unclassified non-coding RNA, 953 nt
Filed under: Hevea brasiliensis (rubber tree)
Lineage: Eukaryota; Viridiplantae; Streptophyta; Magnoliopsida; Malpighiales; Euphorbiaceae
Source: RNAcentral
CCAAUGUCUCUGGAUUUGAUUUCUGUUCCGUCCUUGUGUUCGGCCAAAUUGCCUCCAUCACCCUUUUCUAGUAAUUUUCCAUCAGCAAGUUGCAAUUUCUGCUCAAGCUCCUUGACUUGCUUCUCUAGAAGUAUGAUUUCUUUUUCCCUAGCAUCAAGGUCUUCAAGGGAUUUCCUCAGAGCUGCUUCUCUUUCUAAAUCUUUUUGAGAAUUUCCCUCUUUCUGUUCGGUAAUGAUGCUUUGAGCAAGUUGUAAUUCACUCUGAAGCUUUAGAACUUGAUCAUUUAACAUAUCUCUAUCAUGGAUUUUCAGUACAUGAUCUUCUAGUUUCAAAGUUAACUCAGCUUCUCUUCCAGCAGCAGAUGCCUGAAUGUUUUCAACCUCUUCUUUCAGACGGGCCUCUGCUGUUGCCAAUUUUUCUUCAACUUCCUUGAGACGGUUUUGCAAUGCUGACUUCUCCACAAUCUCCAUCUUGAGAUUUUCAAUCUCAGAUUUUAGGGCAUCUUCAUUUGCUUUCUUCUCUUCACACUGGAUGAUCACUGACUGAAGUUCCUUCUUUACAUUUUGAUAAGAUUCAUUAAGAAGGUUGUUCUCUUCCAUAAAUGAAGAUAUCUGAGACUGUAGUCUCUGUCCUUCAUCAUUAAGAUGCUGAGUUAAAUUUUCUAUAGCCUUCUUUGAUGUGUGAAGCUGUUCUACUGUUUCAUCCUUCUCCAAAUUGGUUGCAGACAGUUUUGCCUCUAGAUCACUCAGUUUGGACUCAUAUGAGGAUAGUUCCUGAGUAAGCUUCAAAUUUGCCUCUGCUAACCCUGUACUCUCUUUUUCAAACUGACUUGACCUGGUUUGGAGUUCCUCAUAAUUUCAAAAUGUUUCAAUUUCAGGUGAGUCUCUUCCAGCUCAAGUUUUAGAGUUUCAGCUAUUGCAGAUGCUUCAUGAGCCUUUUCUUCAUAUAAUUUU